GAUUGCCCUAGUAACGGCGAGUGAAGCGGCAACAGCUCAAAUUUGAAAUCUGGCUUCGGCCCGAGUUGUAAUUUGCAGAGGAAGCUUUAGGCGCGGCACCAUCUGAGUCCCCUGGAACGGGGCGCCAUAGAGGGUGAGAGCCCCGUAUAGAUGGACGCUAAGCCUGUGUAAAGCUCCUUCGACGAGUCGAGUAGUUUGGGAAUGCUGCUCAAAAUGGGAGGUAAAUUUCUUCUAAAGCUAAAUACCGGCCAGAGACCGAUAGCGCACAAGUAGAGUGAUCGAAAGAUGAAAAGCACUUUGAAAAGAGGGUUAAAUAGCACGUGAAAUUGUUGAAAGGGAAGCGCUUGUGACCAGACUUGCGCCGGGCUGAUCAUCCGGUGUUCUCACCGGUGCACUCUGCCCGGCUCAGGCCAGCAUCGGUUCUCGCGGGGGGAUAAAGGCCCUGGGAACGUAGCUCCUCCGGGAGUGUUAUAGCCCAGGGUGUAAUGCCCUCGCGGGGACCGAGGUUCGCGCAUCUGCAAGGAUGCUGGCGUAAUGGUCAUCAGCGACCCGUCUUGAAACACGGACCAAGGAGUCAAGGUUUUGCGCGAGUGUUUGGGUGUAAAACCCGCACGCGUAAUGAAAGUGAACGUAGGUGAGAGCUUCGGCGCAUCAUCGACCGAUCCUGAUGUUUUCGGAUGGAUUUGAGUAGGAGCGUUAAGCCUUGGACCCGAAAGAUGGUGAACUAUGCUUGGAUAGGGUGAAGCCAGAGGAAACUCUGGUGGAGGCUCGCAGCGGUUCUGACGUGCAAAUCGAUCGUCAAAUCUGAGCAUGGGGGGCGAAAGACUAAUCGAACCAUCU
Molecule: ribosomal RNA, 840 nt
Filed under: Chaetomiaceae sp.
Lineage: Eukaryota; Fungi; Ascomycota; Sordariomycetes; Sordariales; Chaetomiaceae
Description: partial large subunit ribosomal RNA
Rfam family: Eukaryotic large subunit ribosomal RNA
Source: RNAcentral